AACCACUUACUCCUCUGCCUUA
RNAcentral lists this microRNA (22 nucleotides) under Eisenia fetida (common brandling worm). RNAcentral describes it as "Efe-Mir-34_3p* (star (passenger))". The record is from RNAcentral. Lineage: Eukaryota; Metazoa; Annelida; Clitellata; Crassiclitellata; Lumbricidae.